UGCAUCGGCCGGGAAUCGAACCCGGGCCGCCCGCGUGGCAGGCGAGCAUUCUUCCACGUAUAAAAAAUGC
This 70-nucleotide transfer RNA is filed under the name Cordylochernes scorpioides. Its description in RNAcentral is "tRNA-Gly". Lineage: Eukaryota; Metazoa; Arthropoda; Arachnida; Pseudoscorpiones; Chernetidae. The record is from RNAcentral.